RNAcentral lists this long non-coding RNA (445 nucleotides) under Capra hircus (goat). RNAcentral's name for it is "lncRNA (ENSCHIG00000004649.1)". The record is from RNAcentral. Lineage: Eukaryota; Metazoa; Chordata; Mammalia; Artiodactyla; Bovidae.
CUUCAGGUGACUUUGGCAAGAACAGCCUGUGCCGAGCUCGGUCACCCCAGAAAACAGUAACAAUACCAUUUCCAUCAGCGUUUUUGAUUCGGAAGAGGACCGCUGCUAACUGUGUGGGGCCAAAAGCCAGUGAGCGUUUGGGGUGAGGGCUGGGAGGGCUUGCGGUGGGAAGGGAGGGAGAGCUGGAAAGCUGGCCCCAGUGUCUACUCACCCAGUGUACUUGGCCACACGUCUCUGCUUUGAGGAAGUCCCCCUCCCCUCCCCACACCUUGGAUCUCCUGAAGAAUGCCCUUUCUCCAGCCCCAGCUUCUCUGCUUCCUGGGAAGGAGUCUCCGUGUUCUUCCUCAGGGAUCUGUGCUCUAGGAAUCAGUCCAGAGGAAAUAAUCUAAAAUGCAGGUGAGAAAAAAUUAUACCCAAUGUGCUCUAAGCUGCAUUGCGUCCCCUG